UACGUAGGAUGCAAGCGUUGUCCGGAAUUAUUGGGCGUAAAGAGCGCGCAGGCGGUAUGACAAGUCAGAUGUGAAAGAGGCCGGCUUAACCGGCAAGGGUCAUUUGAAACUGUCAGACUAGAGUGCAGCAGAGGAUAGUGGAAUUCCCGGUGUAGUGGUGAAAUGCGUAGAUAUCGGGAGGAACACCAGUGGCGAAGGCGGCCAUCUGGACCAGCACUGACACUGAGGCACGAAAGCGUGGGGAGCAAACAGG
Molecule: ribosomal RNA, 253 nt
Filed under: uncultured bacterium
Lineage: Bacteria
Description: partial 16S ribosomal RNA
Rfam family: Bacterial small subunit ribosomal RNA
Source: RNAcentral